Molecule: ribosomal RNA, 253 nt
Filed under: uncultured bacterium
Lineage: Bacteria
Description: partial 16S ribosomal RNA
Rfam family: Bacterial small subunit ribosomal RNA
Source: RNAcentral
UACGGAGGGUGCAAGCGUUGUUCGGAAUUACUGGGCGUAAAGCGCGUGUAGGCGGUUCUCUAAGUCUGAUGUGAAAGCCCGGGGCUCACCCCCGGAAGUGCAUCGGAUACUGGAGAACUCGAGUACCGGAGAGGAGGGUGGAAUUCCUGGUGUAGCGGUGAAAUGCGUAGAUAUCAGGAGGAACACCGGUGGCGAAGGCGGCCCUCUGGACGGAUACUGACGCUGAGACGCGAAAGCGUGGGGAGCAAACAGG